UACGUAGGGGGCAAGCGUUGUCCGGAAUCAUUGGGCGUAAAGAGCGUGUAGGCGGCUUGGUAAGUCCGCUGUGAAAGUCCAGGGCUCAACCCUGGAAUGCCGGUGGAAACUGUCAGGCUCGAGUCCGGAAGAGGCGAGUGGAAUUCCUGGUGUAGCGGUGAAAUGCGCAGAUAUCAGGAGGAACACCAAUGGCGAAGGCAGCUCGCUGGGACGGUACCGACGCUGAGACGCGAAAGCGUGGGGAGCAAACAGG
Molecule: ribosomal RNA, 253 nt
Filed under: uncultured bacterium
Lineage: Bacteria
Description: partial 16S ribosomal RNA
Rfam family: Bacterial small subunit ribosomal RNA
Source: RNAcentral